Molecule: non-coding RNA, 96 nt
Submitted as: unclassified sequences
Source: Rfam
AUAGGUUUCUUGCUUAUCCUAAAAGUAAGUGGUGCGGAUGGGUAACUCCCGCCCUGUUUCUUGCUUCAGGAUAAAGAGCAAGUGGCGUGCAUGUAA